Microcebus murinus (gray mouse lemur) is the source of this 345-nucleotide non-coding RNA. The record is from RefSeq and is a predicted model, not a curated record. NCBI's taxonomy places the organism in Eukaryota, Metazoa, Chordata, Mammalia, Primates, Cheirogaleidae.
GGCAUUCUCAGAAGGGGUCGGUCACCGCCAACUUAUCUUCAACUUUCUAUUAAUAAUGCUCUUCCCUUGUCUUUGCCUCACUGAUUCUCAAACUACAUCUGUGAGGGAAACAAGAAGACAAGGAUUUCUCACCUAGCAGAUGGGCACAUAAACAAGACACAUGCGUUGCGUGAGUAACCCAAGAUAUCAUGUCUUGAAGUUUUAGAUUUCAGAGCAACAUGUUAAAGAAGUGGGAUUGCUGAUUGGUGCAUCAGAUUGUCUCAAUGGAAUCCUGGCUCAGGCACUUUCUGUCUGGCUCAUCAUUUCUCCAUCUGUAAAGCAAGUCAUUAAAAAUGAAAUGUCCAA